RNAcentral lists this ribosomal RNA (414 nucleotides) under uncultured microorganism. RNAcentral's name for it is "bacterial SSU rRNA". It matches the Rfam family "Archaeal small subunit ribosomal RNA", at positions 459 to 872 of the family's 1478-position model. The record is from RNAcentral.
CAGCCGCCGCGGUAAUACCGGCGGCCCGAGUGGCGGCUACUAUUAUUGGGCCUAAAGCGUCCGUAGCCGGGCUAGUAAGUCCUCCGGGAAAUCUGGUCGCUUAACGAUCAGACUUCCGGAGGAUACUGCUGGCCUAGGGACCGGGAGAGGCCGAGGGGAUUCCCGGGGUAGGGGGGAAAUCCUGUAAUCCCGGGAGGACCACCUGUGGCGAAGGCGCUCGGCUGGAACGGGUCCGACGGGGAGGGCCGAAGGCCAGGGGAGCGAACCGGAUUAGAUACCCGGGUAGUCCUGGCGGUAAACGAUGCGGACUAGGUGUCGGGCAAGCUAAGGGCUUGUCCGGUGCCGCAGGGAAGCCGUUAAGUCCGCCGCCUGGGGAGUACGGCCGCAAGGCUGAAACUUAAAGGAAUUGGCGGG